RNAcentral lists this ribosomal RNA (585 nucleotides) under uncultured bacterium. RNAcentral's name for it is "bacterial SSU rRNA". It matches the Rfam family "Bacterial small subunit ribosomal RNA", at positions 338 to 916 of the family's 1533-position model. The record is from RNAcentral.
CCUACGGGAGGCAGCAGUGGGGAAUUUUGGACAAUGGACGCAAGUCUGAUCCAGCCAUGCCGCGUGUGGGAAGAAGGCCUUCGGGUUGUAAACCACUUUUGUCAGGGAAGAAACGGUCUGGGUUAAUACCUUGGGCUAAUGACGGUACCUGAAGAAUAAGCACCGGCUAACUACGUGCCAGCAGCCGCGGUAAUACGUAGGGUGCAAGCGUUAAUCGGAAUUACUGGGCGUAAAGCGUGCGCAGGCGGUUAUGCAAGACAGAUGUGAAAUCCCCGGGCUCAACCUGGGAACUGCAUUUGUGACUGCAUGGCUAGAGUACGGUAGAGGGGGAUGGAAUUCCGCGUGUAGCAGUGAAAUGCGUAGAUAUGCGGAGGAACACCGAUGGCGAAGGCAAUCCCCUGGACCUGUACUGACGCUCAUGCACGAAAGCGUGGGGAGCAAACAGGAUUAGAUACCCUGGUAGUCCACGCCCUAAACGAUGUCAACUGGUUGUUGGGAGGGUUUCUUCUCAGUAACGUAGCUAACGCGUGAAGUUGACCGCCUGGGGAGUACGGCCGCAAGGUUGAAACUUAAAGGAAUUGACGG